This 4791-nucleotide long non-coding RNA is filed under the name Canis lupus familiaris (dog). RNAcentral's name for it is "lncRNA (ENSCAFG00000054782.1)". The record is from RNAcentral. Lineage: Eukaryota; Metazoa; Chordata; Mammalia; Carnivora; Canidae.
UGCCUCUGCCCCGAGCGCCCCGCGCGGCGGGAGGCCUCCUCUCUGCGGCCCCUUUUUCCGGCCUCAUCCGGCUCCGGUGAGUCAGCGCUGAGCAGCCGGGGCGGGCGUGGCUGGGAGUGGGCCGUGGAAGGGGAGGCUCCGCCCGCAGAGGCCGCCGAGGAGGCCGCGUGGUCCCAGGUGGUAGCUACACACAGGGGCAAGAAGUCCUCUCCAGAGGGACAGUGCCUCUGGGACAGCAGACAUCACUGAGGCUUCAGUCCCAGCCCAGAGGACCCCAGCCCACAUGGGAUGCUGCUCAGGAGGCCCAUCCCUGGAGAGACAGCCAUCUUUUCCUUUAUUCUGCCUUCCAAGCUGUAUCUAGAACCUACUGGGGACUCCUUUCUUCAGGACGCACAUCUGAGCAUGUCCUUGCUCCCAUCUGCCCAUUGCUCGCCGCCUCCCUCCAUCCAGUCAUCCAUUAAGCAUCGAAUAUGGCUGCUGGAGAGCACCCAAGGGCUCUCUUACAGGACUGUCACUACAGAUAUUUUCUGGCAAGUUUCUAUACGAAGUAUGAUCCGACUCACUUCAUCCUAAACACAGCUUCUCUCCAGAGUGUGCUAAUUCCUAAAAUGCCACAGCAACAUGGUGAUCGGAUCUUUGGAAUUAAUAAGUAUUGAAUUGUUUUGAAACAGAAAAAAUUUUUAUAGCUACUGAGUUUUCUGUAAGGAAGGAGUGGUUAGUAAACUGCACUGCUUCUGUGAUAAUAUGAAAUGAGAAGUAUUUACAUUGGAGGGCCAGUUGCUGGUUCUUUAUAAACUGUUUUGAAGUGCAGUAUUUACUGAAAAAUGCAUAUGGUAUCUUUCUGAAGAGAGGCUUUAUAGGCAAGCUGGGCAGGUCCAGCUUAUAAGUUAAAUCACUGUAAAGUGAGGGUACAAUAGAUAAAUCUGAGGAAAUAAGAGAUUUAUAAGACACUAAGACCAGCUUAGUUUAUAAUGAGGAGGAGUUCUGUUAGGAGAAGAAAAUUUCCAAUCAUUCAGUCAGUUUAAGCAGAUAUACAUGUAAACCAGAAUCAUCUCUUUACAAGUUUAUUAUAAUUUUUAUUACCAUGUAUAUUCCUCUUAUGUUAUUUAAGAGGAUAUUUCCCUCUUGCUUUAUAUAGCCCAAUCCCUACGUUAUGAUUAUACUUUUUUGCUUUUACUGGUUCAACAUUAUAUUGAUGGAUGAGGUCAUUUUUACAUGUAUUAAGUUACUGAGUUCAUGAAGGCCCACCUUCAUGACUGGUGAUAGAAGACAGCCAGGCAUUUUACAAAUAGCCUCUGAGUCAGCUUUGUAAUUUUGGAACAGAAUGGGUUUUAUUGCCUUUCCAGACACAAGGCUGCAAAAUCAAUUUAGAAAAUAAUUUAUUUUACAGUUAAAAUAUAUGGUAGUUUAAAGGUGUCUGCUUAUUUGGUUCAUCAGUCUAAUUGUUAAAGUCUGCUGUUGUUUAGAAAAGGAAACAUAAAAUGGACAAGUAUAUGGCCAGCUUGUGGUCUAGCAGAAACUGCUUCUCUAGCAGUAAUACCAAAGUAAAUAGUGGAGUCUUCUCUAGCAGAUCUGCAGUAUAAGAAAACAUUGUCUUUUCUUAGACUCUCCGAUCUCAGUCCUCAUAUAUUGCCCAUUAAUGUUUUGCCUUUCAUUACAUAGGUCUUAGUCUUAGUGUAGAUUAACUCAGAGUGGUAACUGUUUCCAAAGCAGCAGCCAUAUUAAAUUCUAUAUAUUUAGAUAUUAGAUUCUCUAUAGAGAAUCUUCCUAUAGUUGACAUUAAUUGCCAGAAAUAACUAUAUACUACUUUGAGAAGAAGACAGUCAAAAAUAAAGUUCUGAUGUGGGAUGAAACUGAAAAAUCCAGUAAUAUUUGUAAACUUGAGUGAAAAGAGUUACAGACCAACUGAAAAAUCAAUUUGUUUCAAUAAAGUGACUUUGGGGGGUAAUGAUCAUUGUUUUGUAUUUCUGAAGUAUUGAGUUUAGAAAUCAGUUGUAUAAUAAUGCUUUUGUAUAUUUGUCUUUUCCCUUGUAUUUUUAAACCAGUAAUCUAUAUAAAUAAAUUUUUCUUUCAUGUAAGAUUCUUGCAAAUUUCCAAAUUGAGUCAGCAAUGUCAUAGUUAUUUUUCAAGGUUUUUUUAAGCAACUGAAUUUGUAAAAUUAAUGUAGUUAAAAAUACUCCUUUUUCUUUAUAUUAAAGACUUACAUUUUUUGCACAGACUUCAGAAAUAGAAGUCUACUUCUGUUAAUACAGGCCUUCUGCUUUUUUCCCCACUUUUUACGCUUCAAUGUUUUAAAAAUAUUCAGAUAUUUGAGGGCUCACUCUAGUAUAGGUAUUGUUUUAAGUAUUGUGUCUAGGGCAGCCCUGGUGGCCCAGCAGUUUAGCAUCGCCUUCAGCCCAGGGUGUGAUCCUGGAGACUAGGGAUCGAGUCCCACGUUGGGCUCCCUGCAUGGAGCUUGUUUCUCCCUUUGCCCUGUGUCUCUGCCUCUCUUUCUCUCUCUCUCUGUGCCUCUCACAAAUAAAUAAAAUCUUUUUUAAAAAUAAGUAUUUGGCUAUAGUUUGUAAGCAAGACAAACCAAAUCUUUUCCCAUAUAAGCUUACGUUCAAAUUGGAGAUCAGGUAAAAAAAUGAACCAAAACAUAGUAUUUCAUGUAGUGAUAAAUGCCAUGGGAAAAAAAUUAAGCAGGUAAAAGGCAGGGGAGCAUACCUCAGAAGGGUCUUCCCUAAUAUUCCUAAGGUUAUUUUUGGGCUAGAAAGGAGUAAUAAGAAGGAUGAGAAUGGUAACAAAUGAGUUCAGAGAAGUAGGUAAGAGUCAGAUCAUAUAGGCCUCUUUGGCCAAAGUAAUAAGCAAAUUUUCUUCUAAGCUAGACAAAGCCAUUGGAUAGUUUUACAUAAAUGAUUAAAGGGAUCUGAUUUUUUUUUUCUUUUAAGUUUACUGGCUAAUGCUGAGAAUAAAGUAUACGUGAAUAGGAAGGAGGAAGAAUAGUUGGGAAACUACUACAGGCAAGAGGUAGCUCAGACUAGGGGAAUGGCUGAUAGAGUGGUUGGGAAGUGGUCAAAUUUGGGAUACGCUUUUUUGUUCCUUUUUUUUUAAGAUUUUAUUUAUUUAUUCAUGAGAGAGAGAGGUUGAGGGAGAAACAGGCUCCAUGCAGGGAGCCUGACGUGGGACUCCCACAAAGUCCUGGGACUUUAGGAUCACGCCCUGGGCUGAAGGCAGGUGCUAAACCACUGAGCCACCCAAGGAUCUCUACUUUUUUGUUCUUAACACCCAGGUGAACUUCCAAUUUCUCAAGUUUGUACAGUUUAAUGUAAAAAAAAAAAAAUAAUUUUUCUAAAAAUAAAAUCUAUUAUGACUAUUACUUGGAACAAAACUAAUUGCUAUGCUAUAAUGGCUCCUAAUUUCAAGUCAGGAUACAAUGGCAGUUUCCUUUUUUUUUUUUUUUUUUUUUUACAAUGGCAGUUUCUAAAUGUGCAUGAGCUCAGAAGUGCCACUAAUUUUAGCAUUCAUUGGUGAAUUUUCCGUGCAACAAAGAUUACUGUGGAGUUCCAUGGUGGUUUUCUUCUUUCCUGUUCCUUCUACAUUUAUUGGAAUUCUCUAAGGAUGAUUUUUUUUUUCCUUUUCCUUAUAUUCAAUCUUUUUUUUUUUUUAAGAUUUUAUUUACUUAUUCAUGAGAGACAGAAAGAGGAAGAGACACAGGCAGAUGGAGAAGCAGGCCCCAUGCUGAGAGCCCGAUGUGGGACUUGAUCCCAGGACCCAGGACCAUACCCUGGGCUAAAGGCAGGCACCAAACCAUUGAGCCACCCAGUGAUCCUUCAUUCGUAUUAUUUUGGACUUACAGAUACCUUAUUCUUUGGUUUACAAUUCAUUAUUAUCAUUAUUAAUCUAUUUUUCAAAUGGUUCUCCAGAUUUUGCCAUUCGAAGUCAAAGUUCCCAGUGUUAAUUUCCAAGUUGGUUUCUGUAUCUUUUUGACCUGUCUCUCCUUUUUUUCUUAAGUGUAGAACUAUGUGUUUUAGGUUUAUGGCACUAUAGUCUUCUAAACUGUAAAUAUCCUAAGGGGCAUAAUAAUAUUUCCUUAACUAAUACCUUAGUAUGAAUUAGUAUUCCUUAGUAUUAGUAUUUCCUUAACUAAUACCUUAGUAUGUAUUAGCCUUAUGGAGUUGCAUGAUGCUAACAGUUGGAAAAGACCUUAGAGGCUAUAUAAUUUAAAUUCCUUAAUCUUACCUUGAAUUUUUAUUAACCAUCACACCUUCACUCAGUUCUGUGUUAGUGCUAAUAAAGGAAGACUUCUUAAAAUAUAUAUAUAUGUGUGUGUGUGUGUGUGUGAAGUUUGGGCAGAAGGGCAGUACUGAUCCCACUUGUGGCCCAUUUCUUCUCUGCAGACACAUUUCUGUUUUCCAAACCUGUUGCCAUCCUUCAGCUAUAAGGACUGAGAGAACCAUGGUCUGACAACAGAGGAGUACUCAGAGGUACUUGUUCAGGGGUGUGAGGGAGGGACAGGACAGUUAGCUGUGGGAGAAAGCUGGAUGUUUUGAUAAAGAGAAGGGCUGGGGCUGUUUUCCCUGGGCUUUCUGGUUUGCAAGAUAGAAGUCUGUUAGUUGGGAAGCUCCAUGGAAGCUUUCUAGUUGUGAUCUGAAACUAGCCCCUCCUUGGGGGGCAGGGAGAGACCCAGGAAAGAGGGAAGCUGGUGGUGUUCCCAAGCAAAGGAGGCUCACAGGUGAGGCUCUUCCCAGGUGGUGGCAGAAUGAGUAGAUACCCACACCCACCAGCCAGAUCUGAAAAGUAAUGUAGAGG